GAUGAACGCUAGCGGCAGGCCUAAUACAUGCAAGCCAAGGGCUGUUUGGUGUAGCAAUACAUCAAACAGCCGGCGGACGGGUGCGUAACGCGUAUGCAACCUACCCUAUACAGGAGGAUAGCCCUCGGAAACGAGGAUUAAUACUCCAUAAGAUUGCUUAGAGGCAUCUUUAAGCAAUUAAAGCCGCAAGGCGGUAUAGGAUGGGCGUGCGUCCGAUUAGCUAGUUGGUGAGGUAACGGCUCACCAAGGCGAUGAUCGGUAGGGGGUCUGAGAGGACGAUCACCCAGACUGGGACUGAGACACGGCCCAGACUCCUACGGGAGGCAGCAGUCGGGAAUUUUGCGCAAUGGGGGAAACCCUGAAGCAGCAACGCCGCGUGAGGGAUGAAGGCCUUCGGGUUGUAAACCUCUUUUGUCAGGGACGAUGAUGACGGUACCUGGCGAAUAAGCCACGGCUAACUACGUG
RNAcentral lists this ribosomal RNA (465 nucleotides) under uncultured bacterium. Its description in RNAcentral is "partial 16S ribosomal RNA". It matches the Rfam family "Bacterial small subunit ribosomal RNA", at positions 28 to 507 of the family's 1533-position model. The record is from RNAcentral.